This 764-nucleotide long non-coding RNA is filed under the name Zostera marina. RNAcentral's name for it is "long non-coding RNA (ZMAR_LNC004486)". Lineage: Eukaryota; Viridiplantae; Streptophyta; Magnoliopsida; Alismatales; Zosteraceae. The record is from RNAcentral.
GGAUUUUUGGCAAGUCGAUCUCGUUUCUCCCUGGAAAUGUCGAGGUUGCCUAAAAAUGUCGAUCCCACAUUUUUCUGAGGAUGUCGAAGACUGCUGACCCUUUUCUAAAGGUGUCGAAUUUUUGACAAGUCGAUCUCAUUUCUCCCUGGAAAUGUCGAAGUUGUCUAAAAAAGUCGAUCCCACCUUUUCCUGAGGAUGUCGAUGACUGCCGAUCCUUUUCUAAAGGUGUCGAAUUUUUGACAAGUCGACCUCAUUUCUCCCUGGAAAUGUCGAUGUUGUCUAAAAAUGUCGAUCUCACCUUUUUCUGAGGAUGUCGAUGAGAGUGGUGUGGAAUGUCGAUCCUGACCUUCUCUUUUGAAGGUUUCGAGUUCCUUGCCAAAUGUCGACGCCUAUCCCCUUUUCCUGGGAAUGUCGAACAUGCUUACCUGCGGAAUGUCGAUCCUGACCUUCUCUUUGGAAGGUUUCGACUUCCUUGUUAAAUGUCGACGCCUAUCCCCUUUUCCUGGGAAUGUCGAACAUGCUUACCUGCGGAAUGUCGAACCUGACCUUCUCUUUUGAAGGUAUCGACUUCCUUGUUAAAUGUCGACGCCUAUCCCCUUUUCUUGGGAAUGUCGAACAUGCUUACCUGCGGAAUGUCGAACCUGACCUUCUCUUUUGAAGGUAUCGACUUCCUUGUUAAAUGUCGACGCCUAUCCCCUUUUCUUGGGAAUGUCGAACAUGCUUACCUGCGGAAUGUCGAUCCUGACAUUCUCUUUUGAAGGUAU